Labrus mixtus (cuckoo wrasse) is the source of this 610-nucleotide long non-coding RNA. RefSeq lists it as uncharacterized. The record is from RefSeq and is a predicted model, not a curated record. NCBI's taxonomy places the organism in Eukaryota, Metazoa, Chordata, Actinopteri, Labriformes, Labridae. The transcript is spliced from 2 exons.
UUCACCUAAGAGUUCAUGUAGAGUAAUGUAAUACUAGUUAUUGUGCUUGUAUUGCAUGUAUUUGUUUGCAUAGGUUAGAGGGCAAAUAUUUGGUACACAGUUCUCAAUACAGAAAUGUUAGUAGUUAAUCUUCGAACUUUAUGACAACAAGAGCCUGGAAUUCCCCAAGGGGGGAAAAAAGGUUUUCUAUUUCUGUUAAUGUAUGACAGGUGUUCAGGUGAGUCUUUUAAAUUUCAACAGGGCCAAACUAACCAUGCAUUCAUGUGGUGUCAGACACAUCGAGAAAAAAUAAUUUCUUGGGAAAGAAUAAGGUGCUUGAUUUGUCAACUUGACCUCAUAAACGGCAUAACAUUUGGGAAGGAAAUAUGUUUUAUUAAUGUUAAGAAUUUUUUUUAUUAAUUCACAUAUUGCACAUCAACUUUAGGCUCAAAUAUAACUUGAAACAUCGACAUUCCUCACAUUUUCUUCGAAGCAUCCACCCUGUUUUUUUGUCGUUGUUACAACAUUCAGACUUUACGAACAAAAAUCACGUUAACACACUGAAUCUUUAUGCUAGGCUAAGCUAAUCUUGUCCUGACUCCUGCUCUACAUGAUCCAAAUUGAAAGAAAU